AUCCACUCUGCUGGAGUUUUUUAAGUGAGCCCAGGUUAUGGGUCCCAAAGGGAAUUAAAUUACCGCUCUCUCCAGUGCCCAGAAACAGUACAUGGUGAAUAUCUACAAACUUGCCUGGCCAGAUGUGGGAAAACCAUCAGAAAUGGGCCUCUGGGGUUUUCUGGUGUUUGGAAAGAAUCCACCAAAGAACUGCUCACUGAAUCACCUGUCGCAUUCCUGGAGAAGCUAACAGAGAUCAGUGUUCAUUUGUGAAAGCAGCUCCCAGAAUCUGGUGUUGGUAUUGUUGGGACUCAUGUAGCAGCUCCAGAUCCCUGCUGAGUGGAGAAACAGCAACGCAGCUCCUCUGCUGACACCUUUGCCUUCAUUCUCACCUCUCUUAAUUUCCUGCAGCUUCAUUUCAAUUAAAAACUAAUAAUAAACCCAAAGAUACUUAGGAAGUGCAGAAACCCAUCUGUAUCCUGCCCAUGGGGGCCAAUGUGCUUGAGCAAGCGGGGAAACUCCAUUUCCCACCCCAACAGCUGCCUGCAUGGGGCUGCUUCCAAACUGCUGCAGCCCGGUGGGAUUUCUUCCUUUCUCACUGGGCUUCCUGUGCUGUUCAUGAACUCUUGCAGCCUGCCAGCACUACCUCUGCUUGCUUUGCAAAGCUCUUCCAGAGAGGCUACCCUUGAGGCUGGAGAACUCCAGUACCAACCACCAUGGAAAUGAAACCAAAUGGUACCCAUCAAUAACUUUUGGGUAGAAACAGAGGUUGCCUGGGAAAGCCUGGCUAUCCAUUUGCUGUUUUGAGUCCUGCUCUGGGCCUGCAGGACUGGAACUGCCCCAGCAAACUCUUGAGGCUGUGCUAAAAAAGAACCUGAUUUAUUGUGCUUAUGCUACAGAGGAGCAGAAACUUCUCUGGCAGUGCACAAUAAACAACCUUUUAUGGGGAUGCAGAAAGCAGCAACGUUAGAGAACAUCAGACUGGAGAUACUUCUUAAUGACACCAUUUGAGAAAGCCAUGCUUUCUCAAGAUUGAAGGAGCCAAAGUGUCAAGAACUCAGGGUACCACAGCACAUCAAUGCUACACUCUGGAUGUGUUGCCUCACUGGGCCAGCAGCCCUCCAAUGUGAGGCAUGGAAUCAUAGAAUCAAUGAGGUUGGAAAAGACCACUAAGAUUAUCCAGUCCCACCCCAUCCCAUCUCCACCAUGCCCACUAGCCAUGUCCCUCAAUGCCACAUCCAGACACGGCCAAACACCCUGCCCAGGAGAGCUCACAGCCCAGCUGCAAAGCAACAGGGGCCCCUAUGGACACCAGGAGACAAAGCCAAAGCCGGGAACAAUGAGCCUGUGUUCUCUGUGUGAGAGGCAGAAGUAGCAGCUUAUUGCUUAUCCCGUUAUUUUACAGACUGCUAGGCUGAAAACCAGAACACCUGGCUCUUGGCAGUGAUGCAAACAAACCCCAUUGGUUUCCUGUAUUGCUGCACCAAGCCCUGGAGAUGAGGAACAUCUGUGAGCUCCAGGCUGGGACCAGUGUGCUGCAGAAAUGCUUUUCCCAUCCACGGGAAACUUUCAAUAUUUUAAACUUUUCUGUCCUUCAUCAGCCAAAAAUUCAAAAGCAAGGAGAAAUGGAAGUCUCAGCUAUUUAAUUUUGAACAGAGAUCCAUAAAUCACGCAACCUAACAGGCCAAAGAGUUUACUUUAAAUGCCUUUGUUUAGAACUUUGUUCUAAUUUUACAGCCUUUACCAGCUUUAAAUUAAAUCCUUACAGUUGCUUAUGUACAACAUUUUUCCUCCUCUUUGUUUAAUUUUAGACAUGUACAGCUAAAUGUUAAAUAUGUAUUACCAAGUAAUUGAAAUGUCAUAGUCCUAGAUUAAACUCCUCUAGUGGAACUAAAUUAAAGGUUUCUGCUCCUGGUUAAGAAGAGUGCAGUGUUGAUGUUUUAUAGCAGCAGCAAAGCCAGAAUUACAGGUUGGGCUUCCG
Lagopus muta (rock ptarmigan) is the source of this 1960-nucleotide long non-coding RNA. RefSeq lists it as uncharacterized. The record is from RefSeq and is a predicted model, not a curated record. Lineage: Eukaryota; Metazoa; Chordata; Aves; Galliformes; Phasianidae. The transcript is spliced from 3 exons.